This 419-nucleotide ribosomal RNA is filed under the name uncultured Bifidobacterium sp. Its description in RNAcentral is "bacterial SSU rRNA". It matches the Rfam family "Bacterial small subunit ribosomal RNA", at positions 213 to 640 of the family's 1533-position model. The record is from RNAcentral. Lineage: Bacteria; Bacillati; Actinomycetota; Actinomycetes; Bifidobacteriales; Bifidobacteriaceae.
UUGCGGUAGGGGAUGGGGUCGCGUCCUAUCAGCGUGAUGGCGGGGUAACGGCCCACCAUGGCUUCGACGGGUAGCCGGCCUGAGAGGGCGACCGGCCACAUUGGGACUGAGAUACGGCCCAGACUCCUACGGGAGGCAGCAGUGGGGAAUAUUGCACAAUGGGCGCAAGCCUGAUGCAGCGACGUCGCGUGCGGGAUGACGGCCUUCGGGUUGUAAACCGCUUUUGACUGGGAGCAAGCCCUUCGGGGUGAGUGUACCUUUCGAAUAAGCACCGGCUAACUACGUGCCAGCAGCCGCGGUAAUACGUAGGGUGCAAGCGUUAUCCGGAAUUAUUGGGCGUAAAGGGCUCGUAGGCGGUUCGUCGCGUCCGGUGUGAAAGUCCAUCGCUUAACGGUGGAUCCGCGCCGGGUACGGGCGGG